UACGAAGGGGGCUAGCGUUGCUCGGAAUUACUGGGCGUAAAGCGCACGUAGGCGGCUCUUUAAGUCGGAGGUGAAAUCCUGGAGCUCAACUCCAGAACUGCCUUCGAUACUGAAGAGCUCGAGUCCGGGAGAGGUGAGUGGAACUGCGAGUGUAGAGGUGAAAUUCGUAGAUAUUCGCAAGAACACCAGUGGCGAAGGCGGCUCACUGGCCCGGUACUGACGCUGAGGUGCGAAAGCGUGGGGAUCAAACAAG
Molecule: ribosomal RNA, 253 nt
Filed under: uncultured bacterium
Lineage: Bacteria
Description: partial 16S ribosomal RNA
Rfam family: Bacterial small subunit ribosomal RNA
Source: RNAcentral